Molecule: ribosomal RNA, 463 nt
Filed under: uncultured bacterium
Lineage: Bacteria
Description: bacterial SSU rRNA
Rfam family: Bacterial small subunit ribosomal RNA
Source: RNAcentral
AUUGAACGCUGGCGGCAUGCUUUACACAUGCAAGUCGAACGGUAACAGGUUAAGCUGACGAGUGGCGAACGGGUGAGUAAUGCAUCGGAACGUGCCCGGUCGUGGGGGAUAACGCAGCGAAAGCUGCGCUAAUACCGCAUACGAUCUGAGGAUGAAAGCGGGGGACCGUAAGGCCUCGCGCGAUCGGAGCGGCCGAUGUCAGAUUAGGUAGUUGGUGGGGUAAAGGCCCACCAAGCCGACAAUCUGUAGCUGGUCUGAGAGGACGACCAGCCACACUGGGACUGAGACACGGCCCAGACUCCUACGGGAGGCAGCAGUGGGGAAUUUUGGACAAUGGGCGCAAGCCUGAUCCAGCAAUGCCGCGUGCAGGAAGAAGGGCCUUCGGGUUGUAAACUGCUUUGUACGGAGCGAAAGGACUCUCUCUAAUACGAGGGGACGUAAUAGACGGUACCGUAAGAAUAAG